AUAACGAGCGCAACCCCUACCUUUAGUUGCCAUCAGGUUAAGCUGGGGACUCUAAAGGAACUAGCCUACGCAAGUAGUGAGGAAGGCGGGGAGUGACGUCAAAUCGGCACGGCCCUUACGUCCAGGGCUACACACGUGCUACAAUGGCCGAUACAGAGGGCAGCUACCUGGUGACAGGAUGCAAAUCUCCAAAGUCGGUCUCAGUUCGGAUCGGAGUCUGCAACCCGACUCCGUGAAGUUGGAUUCGCUAGUAAUCGCGCAUCAGCCAUGGCGCGGUGAAUACGUUCCCGGGCCUU
Molecule: ribosomal RNA, 296 nt
Filed under: uncultured Sphingobacteriales bacterium
Lineage: Bacteria; Pseudomonadati; Bacteroidota; Sphingobacteriia; Sphingobacteriales
Description: partial 16S ribosomal RNA
Rfam family: Bacterial small subunit ribosomal RNA
Source: RNAcentral